CAAAGGCAAGAGCAGAGCGCUAGGGAUUUAGAACAAUUGGCAUUGUUAAAGGUAACAGGGAGAGCUUUCAUUCAAAACAUGCUACAUAUCCCACAUAUGCUGGUGUAGCUCCCAGCACUGGUAGUGGUAAAUGAUGUAUAAAAGGAGUGAAUGCUGAGAUGUAACCACACAUAAAGAAAAGGAAUUCCCUGAUGGUGGGGCACAGCUGCUUUUACAAAGAAAGCAGAAAUAAACUGAUGUUAGACACCAAAAGUAAAAGAAAUCAUUGCCUCUCUAGACUGUCAGGUCUACGAUCCACAAAUAAGGAGGAAUUCAUGCCAAGAAUUAGAAUAGGUGGCUCAGAUGGAUUCAGGGCAGAUAAGUACUGCUCAGCAGAGGGCAUAAUCUCCCAUUACUGCGUGAUGUAUGCACUGAGAGUAGAAAAAGAUGGAAUAACCACUAGAGAGAAGAGCCAGUGACACGACGUAAUGUACGUAUCACCAGUAAGAACAUUUUAGAACUGGACUAUAGCACUCACUCAUACUGAUUCAUAUUUGCUUGUUAAAGAAACCCAGUACGGAUGUAUGGUAUCUUAUGCUUAUAUUGAGCAAGCACAAUUAUAUAGAUAUUUUGUUCAAAAUAAGAUAUUCAAGUGGGAAGAUUUUCUUUAUGUUGAAAUGAAAUUUUUCAUACAUCAUGUUCAAAAGCCUGAAAAACCAGGCAUACAUUUGUGAUUCAAGUUAAAGAGAACUGCAAAUAAAGAGGAUAUUAGGAUCUUAAACUAUUAAUGUCUUGGACAUUAAAAUAUAGCUUAUCAGUGACUUUUAAGUUCUACUAAUUUGGCCCAUGAGAUUUUGCACAAGCAAACAUGGGAAAGAAAAAUUUCUAUGUUAUAGAAGUAAUGUGGGGUUUGUUUUUUCAUCUUUAUGUCUCACCUUUUUAUGCAUCUUUGUAGCUAAAUUUACAUCUUUAUAUCUUUGUAAAAAUUUUAUCACCACAGUAUAAUUCAUUAAACUGGAUCACUCAUUUUGUGGUACUUUUUUAAUUUAGGCAGAAGAAGCAAUUAAAUGUGCAUACCUUUAGAUGUUCUUUGGUUGCCAUUUUGAUUUUUAAACAGGACACAAAUUAAAGAUAUGUCAGGGUUUCUGAUUUGGAUCAAAACCACAACAAAUGGAUUAGACGAUGAAGGAGCUCAGGAUAAAGCUAGUAAUUCACUUCUCUGUCUGAUUUUUGGAGUACAAAAGAAACACAAUCAACUCAAACCCAGAAUGAAAUAGUUUGGCUAUUUCAUCUUGUAUCUGAUAUGAUCUCUUCUCAAUUUGCAAAGCAACAUUACUUUUCCUUGCACAGCAUUGCUGUUCAUUCACUGCUAAGCCAUUUUUUUUUAUUUAUUUCUGUGUUAGAGACAUUUAAGUUCUGAGUCCAAUAUUUCAUCAGAAUCAUUCCUAUUAUUACCAUUCAUAAAACAUGGGAGGCCAUACAUUAAUGUGAAAUAUACUUUUCAGCAUGAGACUGAAACUUCAUGAAAUUACACAUACACACACACACAGAAAGAAAAUAAAAUCAGGAAAUAUAGCACAUGCUGUGCCAACAGCCCUUCUCCAAGGAUCCAUACUGUUUGGAGAUUUCUUUCAAACUGUUUUUCUUUUCUUUUCUUUUCUUUUCUUUUCUUUUCUUUUCUUUUCUUUUCUUUUCUUUUCUUUUCUUUUCUUUUCUUUUCUUUUCUUUUCUUUUCUU
Molecule: long non-coding RNA, 1716 nt
Filed under: Gallus gallus (chicken)
Lineage: Eukaryota; Metazoa; Chordata; Aves; Galliformes; Phasianidae
Description: lncRNA (ENSGALG00010002095.1)
Source: RNAcentral